CAGUCGCCGCGGGAAAACAGAGGGUGCGAGCGUUAAUCGGAUUUACUGGGCGUAAAGCGUGCGUAGGUGGUGGUUUAAGUCCGUUGUGAAAGCCCUGGGCUCAACCUGGGAAUUGCAGUGGAUACUGGGUCACUAGAGUGUGGUAGAGGAUAGUGGAAUUUCCGGUGUAGCAGUGAAAUGCGUAGAGAUCGGAAGGAACAUCUGUGGCGAAGGCGACUAUCUGGGCCAACACUGACACUGAGGCACGAAAGCGUGGGGAGCAAACAGGAUUAGAUACCCCCGUAGUCCCUGUCUCUUAACA
RNAcentral lists this ribosomal RNA (301 nucleotides) under uncultured bacterium. RNAcentral describes it as "partial 16S ribosomal RNA". It matches the Rfam family "Bacterial small subunit ribosomal RNA", at positions 509 to 808 of the family's 1533-position model. The record is from RNAcentral.